RNAcentral lists this ribosomal RNA (540 nucleotides) under uncultured bacterium. RNAcentral describes it as "partial 16S ribosomal RNA". It matches the Rfam family "Bacterial small subunit ribosomal RNA", at positions 355 to 911 of the family's 1533-position model. The record is from RNAcentral.
UGGGGAAUAUUGCACAAUGGGCGAAAGCCUGAUGCAGCAACGCCGCGUGAGUGAUGAAGGUCUUCGGAUUGUAAAGCUCUGUCUUUUGGGACGAUAAUGACGGUACCAAAGGAGGAAGCCACGGCUAACUACGUGCCAGCAGCCGCGGUAAUACGUAGGUGGCGAGCGUUGUCCGGAUUUACUGGGCGUAAAGGGUGCGUAGGCGGAUGUUUAAGUGAGAUGUGAAAUACCCGGGCUUAACUUGGGUGCUGCAUUUCAAACUGGAUAUCUAGAGUGCAGGAGAGGAGAAUGGAAUUCCUAGUGUAGCGGUGAAAUGCGUAGAGAUUAGGAAGAACACCAGUGGCGAAGGCGAUUCUCUGGACUGUAACUGACGCUGAGGCACGAAAGCGUGGGUAGCAAACAGGAUUAGAUACCCUGGUAGUCCACGCCGUAAACGAUGAGUACUAGGUGUAGGAGGUAUCGACCCCUUCUGUGCCGCAGUAAACACAUUAAGUACUCCGCCUGGGAAGUACGACCGCAAGAUUAAAACUCUAAAGUGAA